UACGGAAGGCAGCAGUGGGGAAUAUUGCACAAUGGGCGAAAGCCUGAUGCAGCUAUGCCGCGUGUAUGAAGAAGGCCUUAGGGGUUGUAAAGUACUUUCAUCGGGGAGGAAAAAACAAAACUAAUAAUUUUAUUUCUUGACGUUACCCGAAAAAGAAGCACCGGCUAACUCCGUGCCAGCAGCCGCGGUAAUACGGAGGGUGCUAGCGUUAAUCAGAAUUACUGGGCGUAAAGAGCACGUAGGUGGUUUUUUUAAGUCAGAUGUGAAAUCCCUGGGCUUAACCUAGGAACUGCAUUUUGAAACUGAAAUACUAGAGUAUCGUAGAGGGAGGUAGAAUUCUAGGUGUAGCGGUGAAAUGCGUAGAUAUCUGGAGGAAUACCUGUGGCGAAAGCGGCCUCCUAAACGAAUACUGACACUGAGGUGCGAAAGCGUGGGGAGCAAACAGGGAUUAGAUACC
RNAcentral lists this ribosomal RNA (457 nucleotides) under uncultured bacterium. RNAcentral's name for it is "bacterial SSU rRNA". It matches the Rfam family "Bacterial small subunit ribosomal RNA", at positions 340 to 786 of the family's 1533-position model. The record is from RNAcentral.